This 288-nucleotide long non-coding RNA is filed under the name Ovis aries (sheep). RNAcentral's name for it is "lncRNA (ENSOARG00000027028.1)". Lineage: Eukaryota; Metazoa; Chordata; Mammalia; Artiodactyla; Bovidae. The record is from RNAcentral.
AUGAUGUCAUGCCUGCACCAAGAAGCCAGAUGGUGUUCCAGGCCUUUGAAGCACACCCCUCUCCAAAGGGCUUGUGAUGGGGAGAGAGACAGAGAGGAGUUAUAUCUCUUUCCUGUGAACAUUAUCCUUGGGCAUGGCCUGGAGAGAAGAAAAUCCAAAAAGGAAUACUUCCCAUUCAAGACAGGUAAAGCUUAUCAUGUGUCUUUCAUCCCUUGCAAACUCCUAGUCAGAGCAGGGAUAUUUCCAGGAUCUUGCCCCUUGGACUGGACCUUAUUCAGAUGUAGAUAA